UACGAAGGGGGCUAGCGUUGUUCGGAAUUACUGGGCGUAAAGCGCGCGCAGGCGGCUAUCCAAGUCAGUGGUGAAAGCCCGGAGCUCAACUCCGGAACUGCCAUUGAAACUGUUUAGCUUGAGGAUGAGAGAGGUGAGUGGAAUUCCCAGUGUAGCGGUGAAAUGCGCAGAUAUCGGGAGGAACACCGGUGGCGAAGGCGGUUCUCUGGGCCUGUACUGACGCUGAGGAGCGAAAGCGUGGGGAGCGAACAGG
RNAcentral lists this ribosomal RNA (253 nucleotides) under uncultured bacterium. Its description in RNAcentral is "partial 16S ribosomal RNA". It matches the Rfam family "Bacterial small subunit ribosomal RNA", at positions 524 to 776 of the family's 1533-position model. The record is from RNAcentral.